AAUAUUAUUAAUAUGAUAUGUAGAUAUUUAAAACAACAGCAUAUUAAAUGAUACUGUGUGCAGGUGAUAAUAUUUUUAGGGCGCAGAAUUUGAAUGCAGACCAACUCAAAUGUUAAAGCCUACAAAUAUAUCACCCAAUCUUUCAUUUAUGAUUGUUCAUGCUUUGAAAUUGUGAUGUCAGAAUUUGAUAAAGUGUGUAGUGCUAGGUGUAGCAAAUCAUUGCUUAUGAAAUUAGAGCUAUCACAUAGCUGAGAAACUUGUGUGGCUUAUUACAAAUGGAUGAAACCACAUUUUACCUUAAUGAAGACAGUAAUCUUUAAUAAGGUGUAGAAAAAAGGGGUGAGUUGUUUGUUGCUGUGGUAAACAAAGAAGUGUACUGAAUCUUUUGGACUACACAGAUUGAUGUAGUAUUGACUGUGAUGCUGAUUUGAGUUUUCUCAGUCUGUAUUUUUGUGCUUUGUCUUUUGUUACACAGAGUGAAAGAGAUCUUUGGUUUUGCCUUUGCUGACUGCUGAUCUGAUCGUCUCAAGUCUGGUGAGCUGCUGCAGAAGAUCCUCUCUCUCUAUCAUUAUAAGCAAUUCUGUCUAUCCUAUCACUCUCCCGACUCUAUCUAAUUUGACAGCCAUUCUAUCUUGUAUCCCUCUAUCCCUACUGCUCUAUCUAAUUUGACAGCCAUUCUAUCUUGUAUCCCUCUAUCCCAAGCGCUCUAUCUAAUUUCAGAAUCCAAGUUUUCAGAAAUCCAAGUACCAGUACUUGAUCUAUCUGUUACAGAAUUCUGAGAGAUCUCUGCUCUCACUGCUCCUUCUUUCCUGUCAUUAAACUCUCUCACAUUCAGUCAUUUUGCUGAAAAUUACAAUUAGAAAGUUGAAUAUACAGUAGUAGAAUAUCAGUACAGUAGAACUUAUAGUAGAAACUACUUAUACAGCCCUACAUUUGUAGUUUUAACUUGGCAUUACUCUUUGGAAUAAACACUGAUAGUUUGGCUUACUGGUGCAAUUACUUUGAUACAUUAUAUAAAAUAUACACCUUUUGAAAGGUUUAUUUGUAAUAAGAUAAUCUGACUAUUCUGUAAUAUAUUCAGAGUGCUAUAUUCACAUAAAUAUUAAAUUUGAUUCAAAUACA
This is a long non-coding RNA of Oreochromis aureus, 1122 nucleotides long. RefSeq lists it as uncharacterized. NCBI's taxonomy places the organism in Eukaryota, Metazoa, Chordata, Actinopteri, Cichliformes, Cichlidae. The record is from RefSeq and is a predicted model, not a curated record. The transcript has 3 exons.